GCAAUACGGAGGCUGUGUCAGUCUGCAAAAGAGAAAAAUACCACACCGCAUACAUCCAAAGUCAUGUUGUCUUGUCUUCUUUAUAGUUAAAAAAGAAACCCUAGUUCCCAAAAUAAAUUUAGAAGAAAUUCAUCAAAAGAAAAAAGAAAAUCAACCCUUUUUUUUUUUGUAAAAAAAAUCUUCUUUUUUAUGGGUAUCCUCAUAAAGAGUUAUUGUUGUUUUAUUCCAUUUAUGCUCGCAAGAUCUAGUUUCUUUAAGGCUUUCUUAAUUAACCAAAUUAAUUGGUUAAAGCCUAAUUACCUUCCCAAAUGGAGAAACUAGCUG
Molecule: unclassified non-coding RNA, 324 nt
Filed under: Hevea brasiliensis (rubber tree)
Lineage: Eukaryota; Viridiplantae; Streptophyta; Magnoliopsida; Malpighiales; Euphorbiaceae
Source: RNAcentral